Molecule: ribosomal RNA, 468 nt
Filed under: uncultured bacterium
Lineage: Bacteria
Description: partial 16S ribosomal RNA
Rfam family: Bacterial small subunit ribosomal RNA
Source: RNAcentral
GACGAACGCUGGCGGCGUGCUUAACACAUGCAAGUCGAACGGAAAGGCCCUGCUUUUGUGGGGUGCUCGAGUGGCGAACGGGUGAGUAACACGUGAGUAACCUGCCCUUGACUUUGGGAUAACUUCAGGAAACUGGGGCUAAUACCGGAUAGGAGCUCCUGCUGCAUGGUGGGGGUUGGAAAGUUUCGGCGGUUGGGGAUGGACUCGCGGCUUAUCAGCUUGUUGGUGGGGUAGUGGCUUACCAAGGCUUUGACGGGUAGCCGGCCUGAGAGGGUGACCGGCCACAUUGGGACUGAGAUACGGCCCAGACUCCUACGGGAGGCAGCAGUGGGGAAUAUUGCACAAUGGGCGGAAGCCUGAUGCAGCAACGCCGCGUGCGGGAUGGCGGCCUUCGGGUUGUAAACCGCUUUCGCCUGUGACGAAGCGUGAGUGACGGUAAUGGGUAAAGAAGCACCGGCUAACUAUGUG